CGGGGAGUAGCGCAGCCUGGCAAGCGCACCUCGCUUGGGACGAGGGGGUCGCUGGUUCAAAUCCAGUCUCCCCGA
This 75-nucleotide transfer RNA is filed under the name Pseudomonadota bacterium. RNAcentral describes it as "tRNA-Pro". It matches the Rfam family "tRNA". From Rfam's summary of the family: Transfer RNA (tRNA) molecules are approximately 80 nucleotides in length. Their secondary structure includes four short double-helical elements and three loops (D, anti-codon, and T loops). RNAcentral also lists the same sequence under 1 other name. The record is from RNAcentral. Lineage: Bacteria; Pseudomonadati; Pseudomonadota.